CAUCCUCUUGGGGAACGUUUCUGGACUUUAUUGGACAGGGCGAGAUUCAAGUCUUUUACUUUGAGGAAAUUAGAGUGUUCACGGCAGGCAAGCGCUUUGAAUACAUUAGCAUGGAAUAAUAAUAUAGGACCUUCGUUCUAUUUUGUUGGUUUCUAGAACUUAGGUAAUGAUUAAUAGGGACAAUUGGGGGCAUUCGUAUUAACGCGUCAGAGGUGGAAUUCUUGGAUUGCGUUACGACGAACUACUGCGAAAGCAUUUGCCAAAGAUGUUUUCAUUGAUCAAGAACGAAAGUAUGGGGAUCGAAGACGCUUAGAUACCGUCGUAGUCUAUACCAUAAACUAUGCCAACUAGAGAUUGGAGGGGUUCUCCUAUUUGGCUCCUUCAGCAUCUUAUGAGAAAUCAAAGUCUUUGGGUUCCGGGGGGAGUAUGGUCGCAAGGCUGAAACUUAAAGGAAUUGACGGAAGGGCACCACCAGGAGUGG
RNAcentral lists this ribosomal RNA (481 nucleotides) under uncultured eukaryote. RNAcentral's name for it is "SSU rRNA". It matches the Rfam family "Eukaryotic small subunit ribosomal RNA", at positions 697 to 1179 of the family's 1831-position model. The record is from RNAcentral.